UCUCCGUUGGUGAACCAGCGGAGGGAUCAUUACAGGACUCGCAAGACUCCUUACACCCUGUGAACCUUACUGUAUACGCGUUGCUUCGGCGGGUCCGCCCGCCGGCAGCAUACCACAUUCUGUCUCUCUGCGUUGGCAUCUCGAGAAAAAAGCAAAUAAGUUAAAACUUUCAACAACGGAUCUCUUGGUUCUG
Molecule: unclassified non-coding RNA, 193 nt
Filed under: plant metagenome
Description: partial contains small subunit ribosomal RNA, internal transcribed spacer 1, and 5.8S ribosomal RNA
Source: RNAcentral